Molecule: ribosomal RNA, 463 nt
Filed under: uncultured bacterium
Lineage: Bacteria
Description: partial 16S ribosomal RNA
Rfam family: Bacterial small subunit ribosomal RNA
Source: RNAcentral
GACGAACGCUGGCGGCGUGCUUAACACAUGCAAGUCGAACGGUGAACCUCUUCGGAGGGGAUCAGUGGCGAACGGGUGAGUAACACGUGGCCAACCUGCCCCCGGCUCUGGGAUAACUCCAAGAAAUUGGGGCUAAUACCGGAUGUUCACCGCUUCCCGCAUGGGUGGUGGUGGAAAGGGUUUCCGGCUGGGGAUGGGCCCGCGGCCUAUCAGCUUGUUGGUUGGGGAGUGGCCUACCAAGGCGACGACGGGUAGCCGGCCCGAGAGGGUGACCGGCCACACUGGGACUGAGACACGGCCCAGACUCCAACGGGAGGCAGCAGUGGAGAAUAUUGCGCAAUGAGCGGAAGCCUGACGCGGCGACGCCGCGUGGGGGAUGACGGCCUUCGGGUUGUAAACCGCUUUCAGCAGGGACGAAGCGCAAGUGACGGUACCUGCAGAAGAAGCACCGGCCAACUACGUG